Molecule: ribosomal RNA, 419 nt
Filed under: uncultured bacterium
Lineage: Bacteria
Description: bacterial SSU rRNA
Rfam family: Bacterial small subunit ribosomal RNA
Source: RNAcentral
GGAAUAUUGGACAAUGGGCGAAAGCCUGAUCCAGCAAUGCCGCGUGUGUGAAGAAGGCCUGCGGGUUGUAAAGCACUUUAAGCGGGGAAGAAAGGCGGGAGGCUAAUACCCUCUUGCACUGACGUUACCUGCAGAAGAAGCACCGGCUAACUCCGUGCCAGCAGCCGCGGUAAUACGGAGGGUGCGAGCGUUAAUUGGAAUUACUGGGCGUAAAGCGCGCGUAGGCGGUUUGUUAAGUCAGCUGUGAAAGCCCUGGGCUCAACCUGGGAAUGGCAGUUGAUACUGGCGAGCUUGAGUGUGGUAGAGGGGUGUGGAAUUUCCGGUGUAGCAGUGAAAUGCGUAGAGAUCGGAAGGAACACCAGUGGCGAAGGCGGCACCCUGGACCAACACUGACGCUGAGGUGCGAAAGCGUGGGGAGC